AUGGGCCCUGCAGCUCCUCCGAGACUCCAGGGACGGGCCGGGGCGGGGGUGGGGGGGUGGGGGCGGGGUGGUAGGAUGGAGCCGGCCGCGCGGCUGGGGGCGCAGGGACCCGGAGACCCGGGGGCCCUGGGAGCGGCAGCCCCGCCCCUCCGGGACCUGGGGUCGCCCGGGGUCACCCGAGGUCGCCUGCAAGGGAAGGAGGCGCCCCCGCCCCCGCCGCCCGCCGCCAGCUCGCCGAGGGCCGCAGCCCGGCGCGCACCCCACCGGCGCGGGGCCGCCACACUACCUUCGACCGCCGACAGCCCGUCGGGCCUUUCCAUCUGCGGCCCCGGGCUCCGCAGGCCCCCAGCCCCGGCUGCGUGGGAGCGUGACGUCACUUCCGCCGCCUCCUCCCGGCUCCCGGCGGCAGGAACGCCCCGCGUCGCCGCCCCGGGAGGCCCUGCGGGGUCCUCCCCGCCGCCGCGCGGUCGUCGGGGCGCGAGCACCACGGAGCGCCGGUCCCUGGACGAGACCCGACCGGGCCACCGCGGCGACGCCGCCCGGCCCCGCCCCGGCCCCGGCCCCGGCCCCGCCCCUCUCGCGCCGCGUCACGCGCGCCAGCCGACGUCGUUGCGUCACUGCUGUGCGACGCGCCGGAGCGUGGGUGCCGAGUGUCGGCGGCUCCCCGGGAGGCCCGCGCGGUCCUGGCAGGUGAGCCCGGGGCGCCCGGAGCGGCGGGCGCGGGGAGGGCCGCGGGGGCAGGCUUCGCAGCCGCCGCCGAGCCUGGCUGCCGGCCGCGCGGCUCUGCGUCCCCGCGGGGCGCUCCGCUCCCGCGUGUCUGCGCUCACCGCGCCCGCGCGGGUCCCCGGGGUCGGGCCGCUCCCACGGGCUGCGGGCGGCGCGGGCGGCCUCGGGGCUGCGGGGAGGGCGGAGCCUCGGCCCCGAGCCCUGCGCGCCCCGCGUGCGCCGGCGGCCGCCCGGGCUCUCGUCUCUCCCGGGCCGCGUUCCUCCUCGCCCCCUCCACGUUGGGGCGCCCCCCCCUCCGCGCCGCUCCUCCCUUUCAUCCGCCAGCCGCUUCAUUGUAAAGAUUUUAUUUAUUUAUUCACGCAGGACACAGAGAGGGAGACGCAGGCAGAGGGAGGAGCAGGCUCCCCGCAGGGGCCCGACGCGGGACUCGAUCCCGGGACCUGGGGUCACGGUGCUCAACCGCUGAGCCAUCCAGGUGUCCCCUCCUUUUUUUUUUUUUUUUUUAAGAGAUUUUAUUUAUAA
This 1248-nucleotide long non-coding RNA is filed under the name Canis lupus dingo (dingo). RNAcentral's name for it is "lncRNA (ENSCAFG00020017235.1)". The record is from RNAcentral. Lineage: Eukaryota; Metazoa; Chordata; Mammalia; Carnivora; Canidae.